This 274-nucleotide unclassified non-coding RNA is filed under the name Hevea brasiliensis (rubber tree). Lineage: Eukaryota; Viridiplantae; Streptophyta; Magnoliopsida; Malpighiales; Euphorbiaceae. The record is from RNAcentral.
GCGGCGGCCCGGCAACUCGUCGUCGACAAGAUGUCUGCUCAGGCGAUCGGAGCUGCAACCGUCGCCCUCUAUGAGGAGCAGUUGCAGCGCGUUCACUAACUUCAAGCCUAGCAGACGCUUUUCGCGCUACCUUUGCUCCAACGGUGCAAAGUUACGCGCCUCGCAUUUGUCGUUGAUGACGGCAGGCCGCCAAUUCGCAACCGUUUCACCUUUCAGGAAGAACGUGAAGUAGCGAAGCUCAUUGCCGAAGCUCGCGCGCGAGCAAACGGUCCAU